This 460-nucleotide ribosomal RNA is filed under the name uncultured bacterium. RNAcentral's name for it is "partial 16S ribosomal RNA". It matches the Rfam family "Bacterial small subunit ribosomal RNA", at positions 338 to 795 of the family's 1533-position model. The record is from RNAcentral.
CCUACGGGUGGCAGCAGUGAGGAAUAUUGGUCAAUGGACGAGAGUCUGAACCAGCCAAGUAGCGUGAAGGAUGACUGCCCUAUGGGUUGUAAACUUCUUUUAUAUGGGAAUAAAAUGUUCCACGUGUGGGAUUUUGUAUGUACCAUAUGAAUAAGGAUCGGCUAACUCCGUGCCAGCAGCCGCGGUAAUACGGAGGAUCCGAGCGUUAUCCGGAUUUAUUGGGUUUAAAGGGAGCGUAGGUGGAUUGUUAAGUCAGUUGUGAAAGUUUGCUGCUCAACCGUAAAAUUGCAGUUGAAACUGGCAGUCUUGAGUACAGUAGAGGUGGGCGGAAUUCGUGGUGUAGCGGUGAAAUGCUUAGAUAUCACGAAGAACUCCGAUUGCGAAGGCAGUUCACUGGACUGCAACUGACACUGAGGCUCGAAAGUGUGGGUAUCAAACAGGAUUAGAUACCCUAGUAGUC